UCCUGGGUGGCUCAGACAGUAAAGAACCUGCCUGCAAUGCAGGAGACCUAGGUUUGAUCCCUGGGUUGGGAA
Transfer RNA from Ovis aries (sheep), 72 nucleotides. It matches the Rfam family "tRNA". Rfam says of the family: Transfer RNA (tRNA) molecules are approximately 80 nucleotides in length. Their secondary structure includes four short double-helical elements and three loops (D, anti-codon, and T loops). NCBI's taxonomy places the organism in Eukaryota, Metazoa, Chordata, Mammalia, Artiodactyla, Bovidae. The record is from Rfam.